UGAUGGCGACCGGCGAACGGGUGAGUAACGCGUAUGUAACCUGCCUACUACAGAGGGAUAGCCCAUGGAAACGUGGAUUAAUACCUUAUAGCACAUUUAAACUUCAUGGUUAAAAUGUUAAAGAUUUAUCGGUAGUAGAUGGACAUGCGUCUGAUUAGGUAGUUGGUGAGGUAACGGCUCACCAAGCCAACGAUCAGUAGGGGGUUUGAGAGGAUGAUCCCCCACACUGGAACUGAGACACGGUCCAGACUCCUACGGGAGGCAGCAGUAGGGAAUAUUGGUCAAUGGAGGAAACUCUGAACCAGCCACGCCGCGUGUAGGAAGAAUGUCCUUAGGAUUGUAAACUACUUUUAUCAGGGAAGAAUGACGAGCAUGCGUGCUCGGAGAGACGGUACCUGAGGAAUAAGCACCGGCUAACUACGUGCCAGCAGCCGCGGUAAUACGUAGGGUGCAAGCGUUACUCGGAAUCACUGGGCGUAAAGCGCAUGCAGGCGGUCUAAUAAGUUGGAAGUGAAAGCCUAUGGCUCAACCAUAGAACUGCUUCCAAAACUAUUAGACUAGAGUCUGGGAGGGGAAGAUGGAAUUAGUAGUGUAGGGGUAAAAUCCGUAGAGAUUACUAGGAAUACCAAAAGCGAAGGCGAUCUUCUGGAACAGUACUGACGCUGAGAUGCGAAAGCGUGGGGAGCAAACAGGAUUAGAUACCCUGGUAGUCCACGCAGUAAACGAUGAAUGUUAGAUGUCUGGGGAGUUUACCCCUUGGGUAUCGCAGCUAACGCAAUAAGCAUUCCGCCCGGGAAGUACGGUCGCAAGAUUAAAACUCAAAGGAAUAGACGGGGACCCGCACAAGUGGUGGAGCAUGUGGUUUAAUUCGAAGAUACGCGAAGAACCUUACCUAGCCUUGACAUAUUUAAGAACUCCGUAGAGAUACAGAGGUGCCUUCGGGAGCUUUCUUACAGGUGCUGCACGGCUGUCGUCAGCUCGUGUCGUGAGAUGUUGGGUUAAGUCCCGCAGCGAGCGCAACCCUCGUCACUAGUUACUAACGGUUCGGCCGAGGACUCUAGUGAGACUGCCUUCGUAAGGAGGAGGAAGGUGAGGACGACGUCAAGUCAUCAUGGCCCUUACGGCUAGGGCAACACACGUGCUACAAUGGUUAGGACAAUGAGAAGCAAUAUCGCGAGGUGGAGCAAAUCUAUAAACCUAAUCUCAGUUCGGAUUGUAGUCUGCAACUCGACUACAUGAAGCUGGAAUCACUAGUAAUCGUAGAUCAGCUAUGCUACGGUGAAUACGUUCCCGGGUCUUGUACUCACCGCCCGUCACACCAUGGGAGUUGAUUUCACCCGAA
Molecule: ribosomal RNA, 1342 nt
Filed under: uncultured bacterium
Lineage: Bacteria
Description: bacterial SSU rRNA
Rfam family: Bacterial small subunit ribosomal RNA
Source: RNAcentral